This 41-nucleotide transfer RNA is filed under the name Porella cordaeana. RNAcentral's name for it is "partial tRNA-Leu". The record is from RNAcentral. Lineage: Eukaryota; Viridiplantae; Streptophyta; Jungermanniopsida; Porellales; Porellaceae.
GGGGGGGGGGGUAUGGCGAAAUUGGUAGACGCUGCGGACUU